GUGGUGCCGGCCCAGCGGACGCGGGGACGCAGAUCCGCCGUUCUGACCUCCGUCUCCGCCGAGGCCCAGACCAUGGCAUUCGCCGCCCCCUGAUCCGGGACGCCGACAUGCAGAGCAACAGGAGGAGGGGCGAGGCAUCCUAGCUGUAGUCCCGUCGGUCCAGCACCUUCUCCCUCACAUCCCUUGCAGCUACCUUGGAGGGGCAACAGUAUUCAGACAGAAAGAUUGAGCGGCGGGAGGAGCUAGCUGAGUGCUGACGGUUGGCGAACAUGUUCCACAUGCCUUGCUGCUCAGGCAUUCCUGCUGCCCGGGACCAAGACGACGACCCAAGCUUGAUGCUGCUGCAUGUCUUUAUUGAGUGCAGUUCUGCCAUAGUGAGCUCAGGGCGUCUUUGAAGGCGAGGAUGGGGUGCAGGAACAACGACUUGCUCCACCUGGACAACGCUACUGAUGCUACUGGUGACCACUCCAACCGGCCACCACCCUGAGCUGCUGCUGCUGCUGGGACAAAGACGGCGGGAGGAGCUGUGCCUCUUGCCGGUGGCUUGCGCCCACAGCCAUGCUCUUGCUCGCAGCGGCCCCGGACCAAGACCGGCGGUGUCGAC
Molecule: long non-coding RNA, 604 nt
Organism: Lolium rigidum
Lineage: Eukaryota; Viridiplantae; Streptophyta; Magnoliopsida; Poales; Poaceae
Exons: 5
Source: RefSeq, a predicted model, not a curated record